This is a long non-coding RNA of Grammomys surdaster, 408 nucleotides long. RefSeq lists it as uncharacterized. Lineage: Eukaryota; Metazoa; Chordata; Mammalia; Rodentia; Muridae. The transcript has 3 exons. The record is from RefSeq and is a predicted model, not a curated record.
UUCCUGAAUGAUAAAAUAAAAUGUUCUUUCAACAAAAUUAGUCACAACUAAAUAUAGAAAAGAUAACACAUUGCUUGUGUUUACUUACAGGUUCACCCUAAAUUCCACUAUAAACAGGCUCAUGACCCGGGCACAGACACUUCCUGUGUGGCUUUUUCCUAUGAUGGUAAUGUCCUUGCCUCUCGUGGAGGUGAUGAUACAUUAAAAUUAUGGGAUGUCCGGCAAUUUAAUAAACCAUUAUUUUCAGCCUCAGACCUUCCUACCUUGUUCCCAAUGACCGACUGCUGUUUCAGCCCUGAUGAUAAACUCAUAGUUACUGGUACCUCUGUUCAAAGGGGAUGUGGCAGUGGCAAACUUGUCUUCUUUGAGCGCAGGACAUUCCAAAGGGUGUAUGAAAUCCACAUCACA